AUUGAACGCUGGCGGCAGGCCUAACACAUGCAAGUCGAACGGUAACAGGCAGCAGCUUUCUGCUUUGCUGAUGAGUGGCGGACGGGUGAGUCAUGUCUGGGCAACCGUCCGAUGGAGGGGGAUCACUACUGGCAACGGUAGCUAAUACCGAAUACCGUCGCAAGACCACCGUGGGGGACAUUCGGGCCUCUUGCCAUUGGACGCGCCCCGGGGGGGUGAGCUAGUAGGUGGGGUAACGGCUAACCCAGGCGACGAUCCCUAGCUGGUCUGAGAGGAGGACCAGGCACACGGGGGUGUAGACACGGACCGGACUCGUGCGGGAGGCCGCAGUGGGGAGUAAUGCAGAAUUGGCGCAAACCGGAUGCAGCGAGGCCGCGUGAAGGAAGGAGGCCGUCGGGUGGUAGAGUGCUUUCGGGGGGGAGGAAGGUAGUAAUGUGAAUGCCGUUGCUCAGUGACGGUACCCGCAGAAGAAGCACCGGCUAACUCCGUG
Molecule: ribosomal RNA, 490 nt
Filed under: uncultured bacterium
Lineage: Bacteria
Description: partial 16S ribosomal RNA
Rfam family: Bacterial small subunit ribosomal RNA
Source: RNAcentral